GACGAACGCUGGCGGUGUGCUUAACACAUGCAAGUCGAACGGUAAGGCCCUUUCGGGGGUCCACGAGUAGCGAACGGGUGAGUAACACGUGAGUAACCUGCCCUCAUCUCUGGGAUAACAGUCGGAAACGGUUGCUAAUACUGGAUAUGAGCUUGCAAGGCAUCUUGUGGGUUGGAAAGAUUUUUUUUGGUUGGGGAUGGACUCGCGGCCUAUCAGCUUGUUGGUGAGGUAGUGGCUCACCAAGGCUUCGACGGGUAGCCGGCCUGAGAGGGCGACCGGCCACAUUGGGACUGAGAUACGGCCCAAACUCCUACGGGAGGCAGCAGUGGGGAAUAUUGCACAAUGGACGGAAGUCUGAUGCAGCAACGCCGCGUGCGGGAUGACGGCCUUCGGGUUGUAAACCGCUUUCAAUUGUGACGAAGCUUUUUUGUGACGGUAGCAGUAGAAGAAGCACCGGCUAACUACGUG
This 468-nucleotide ribosomal RNA is filed under the name uncultured bacterium. RNAcentral's name for it is "partial 16S ribosomal RNA". It matches the Rfam family "Bacterial small subunit ribosomal RNA", at positions 28 to 507 of the family's 1533-position model. The record is from RNAcentral.